ACCUGCCCAAUGAUUUUUUUAAUGGCCGCAGUAUUUUAACUGUGCAAAGGUAGCAUAAUCAUUAGUCUUUUAAUUGAAGGCUGGAAUGAAUGGUUGGACGAAAUAUUAACUGUUUCAUUUAAAAUUAUAAUAAAAUUUUAUUUUUUAAUUAAAAAGUUAAAAUUUAAUUAAAAGACGAGAAGACCCUAUAAAUCUUUAUAUAUUUAUUAAUUUUAAUCUUAAAGAUUUUUUUAAUUAUAAUUAAUAAAUAUAUUUUAUUGGGGUGAUAUUAAAAUUUAAUUAACUUUUAAAUAUUUAAAUCAUUAAUUUAUGAAUAAUUGAUCCAAUUAUAUUGAUUAAAAAUUUAAGUUACUUUAGGGAUAACAGCGUAAUUUUUUUGGAGAGUUCAUAUUGAUAAAAAAGAUUGCGACCUCGAUGUUGGAUUAAGAUAUAAUUUUAGGUGUAGCCGUUUAAAUUUAAAGUCUGUUCGACUUUUAAAAUCUUACAUGAUCUGAGUUUCCA
This 501-nucleotide ribosomal RNA is filed under the name Melanostoma orientale. RNAcentral's name for it is "partial large subunit ribosomal RNA". The stretch from base 359 to 501 matches the Rfam family "Bacterial large subunit ribosomal RNA", at positions 2473 to 2615 of the family's 2925-position model. Lineage: Eukaryota; Metazoa; Arthropoda; Insecta; Diptera; Syrphidae. The record is from RNAcentral.